UAAGCUUCUCAGUCUUUUGGCUAAGAUCAAGUGUGGUAUCUGUUCCUAUCAGGAACACCUUUGGACGCAGCAAGCAUUGUUAAACUUUAAAACUCAUUAUUAUGUCUUCCAUAACAGCCAUUUUACUAUUAGUAAUUAGUUUUGGCUGCUUACAAGAAUUUUUAGACUUGUAACCAUUUUGAAAAAAUUUUUAGGAAAA
Ochotona curzoniae (black-lipped pika) is the source of this 199-nucleotide small nuclear RNA. RefSeq annotates it as U2 spliceosomal RNA. The record is from RefSeq and is a predicted model, not a curated record. The transcript has a single exon. NCBI's taxonomy places the organism in Eukaryota, Metazoa, Chordata, Mammalia, Lagomorpha, Ochotonidae.